AGGGCUAUUAAACAUUCAGGAGUGUGUUUCCUUUCCUCUUGUUUGUCACAGAGAACUUCAAGGGGUCUCGAGGUCCCCUUCAUGCAGACCAUGAUGUAGAAACUACACCAGUAAAAUUCCCAAUUCCCAACAAGACAAAAAGCAGCAAGAAAAUCUCCAACAGUAGCUCUUCAGCUCCAGUGGCAGCUGUCAUUGCAGGUCAUAGCAGGGUCUGGUGGGAGAUAAUAUCCAAGAGCUCAAGCAAGUCUCAGGAGUACUGAUAUCACAGUUCUGCUGAUUUUGUUACUGAUUUGCUGCUUGACCUUAGAUAUGGAAGAUGGUUUGGGAUCUGGCAGCUGGCACAGUGCUCAUAGUAGGUCUGGCACAG
This 367-nucleotide long non-coding RNA is filed under the name Anser brachyrhynchus (Pink-footed goose). RNAcentral describes it as "lncRNA (ENSABRG00000001178.1)". The record is from RNAcentral. Lineage: Eukaryota; Metazoa; Chordata; Aves; Anseriformes; Anatidae.